Molecule: transfer RNA, 76 nt
Filed under: Betaproteobacteria bacterium
Lineage: Bacteria; Pseudomonadati; Pseudomonadota; Betaproteobacteria
Also listed under: 2 other names
Description: tRNA-Thr
Rfam family: tRNA
About the family: Transfer RNA (tRNA) molecules are approximately 80 nucleotides in length. Their secondary structure includes four short double-helical elements and three loops (D, anti-codon, and T loops).
Source: RNAcentral
GCCGGCAUAGCUCAGCUGGUAGAGCAACCGCCUUGUAAGCGGUAGGUCCCCCGUUCGACUCGGGGUGCCGGCACCA